GCAGAUAUGGUUCAGUGGUUAAGAGCCCUGGCUCUUCUUCCAGAGGACCUGGGUUCAAUUCCCAGCACCCACA
RNAcentral lists this transfer RNA (73 nucleotides) under Cricetulus griseus (Chinese hamster). It matches the Rfam family "tRNA". Rfam says of the family: Transfer RNA (tRNA) molecules are approximately 80 nucleotides in length. Their secondary structure includes four short double-helical elements and three loops (D, anti-codon, and T loops). Further hydrogen bonds mediate the characteristic L-shaped molecular structure. tRNAs have two regions of fundamental functional importance: the anti-codon, which is responsible for specific mRNA codon recognition, and the 3' end, to which the tRNAs corresponding amino acid is attached (by aminoacyl-tRNA synthetases). tRNAs cope with the degeneracy of the genetic code in two manners: having more than one tRNA (with a specific anti-codon) for a particular amino acid; and 'wobble' base-pairing, i.e. permitting non-standard base-pairing at the 3rd anti-codon position. The record is from Rfam by way of RNAcentral. Lineage: Eukaryota; Metazoa; Chordata; Mammalia; Rodentia; Cricetidae.